UACAGAGGGCUCAAGCGUUGUUCGGAAUCAUUGGGCGUAAAGGGUGCGUAGGCGGCUCGGCAAGUCGGGUGUGAAAUCUUGGAGCUUAACUCCGAAACUGCAUUCGAUACUGCAGUGCUUGAGGACUGGAGAGGAGACUGGAAUUUACGGUGUAGCGGUGAAAUGCGUAGAUAUCGUAAGGAAGACCAGUGGCGAAGGCGGGUCUCUGGACAGUUCCUGACGCUGAGGCACGAAGGCCAGGGGAGCAAACGGG
This 253-nucleotide ribosomal RNA is filed under the name uncultured bacterium. Its description in RNAcentral is "partial 16S ribosomal RNA". It matches the Rfam family "Bacterial small subunit ribosomal RNA", at positions 524 to 776 of the family's 1533-position model. The record is from RNAcentral.